UGAAAUCCAAUCCCUGUUUUACUCCCGGAUCCACCGUGUAGGUUUGUUCCUCAAUUAUUAUCCGAUUCUUCGGUUACACAUUAUCAGCCGUUCCUCCAUUAUUAUCCUCUCCUCUUCCGUUACUAUAUUUGGAGAUAUCUAUCCGUUUCCCCUAAAUUUUUGCCCUAAUUACCUCUUUCGUUACCAUCUUAUCUUCUAUUCUCAUUCUCUCUUCUCUAAAAUUAGAGAAAAAUAUUCUCUUUGGGACAUUGAAGACCCGUAUAUGUAUACGCUGCUCAUACGUUACAAAUGUUUACAAAUGUUUCACUACAUAAACACCAACAUAGGUCAUCAUCUUACCAUGUUUCAGAUGCAUACUCUAUCGACACUGUUAGGCUCCGACUGUUGUUUUCGAAAAAGAGGUGUCAUCUAUUUUGGGAGCGACGCAUGGAGUGCACAUGGAGUGCAGCACCAUGAAUGAGCCAGAUGCAGAAGAUAACCAGGAAACCUCUGGUGGAGGCACUAGCCUUCCAUUUGCACCCACUCAUGGACAAUUUUUGUGCUACAAGACAUAUUGAGAGACAAGCCACCGUUAAUCUUACAUGUGUAUAUCGGUUUCAGUUUUUCCAUGGAAUUGCAGUUUCUUUAAACCAGAUAUGAUCUCUAUCUAUAUCAACUGUUUGAUUCAAAAAUUAAACCAUUCUAUAAAAUGUUGCAUGUCAAAUAUUAUUCAUAGGUGUGAGAAAGUUGGCGAUAAAACCAAAAUGUAGGAUUUGAUGAUUUUUAAUAGCGUCUAUGGAGGGAUUUAGGGUGAUUCUGUUGAUGUGACAUGCCGUGGUUGAAUGAAAAGACAAAGGGUAUAUUUUUCUUCCAUCGAGUUUGUUUUGUGACUGUCGUUGCUUCACCCUAUAAAAGCCUGUUUUUUCCCUCGGCAUUAUACAAGCUAGACUAGAGGUGCAUAUUUGGCCUUAUAUUUAUUAACGUUUAGACUACGUUUGUAGCUUCAGCAAAUAACAUACUGUGGAAGGAACCAAUGCGAAAAGUCGUGACAUGAACUAAAUAGUAGUGUACAUAACAGAGUCACAUUCUAAUGUAGAUUGUUAAUUCUUAUUGGAGCUGGCUUUUAGAGGACAAUAUAUGCUGCACAUAGAAAAAAUUCAUAUGGCCUUUUGGAUCCAUUUUUUUAACAAAUAUGUUUGCAUCCUUUGUACUCGCUUAAAAUGGCCAAAAGAUACUAAAAGAUGUAAGGGACUUGGGUAGUAAAAUAUUAAAAUAUGUUUGAAAUGCAUGCAGGUGGAGUAAAUUAGAAAUGGUUAGGCCUAAACUUUGAAACUCAUGUUUGAUUAUCUGUGAUGUUUUAUUAAGUAAAACUCUUACGAUAUCCAUCUAUAGGUAGGUGUUGCGUUGUUCAUCUCUAAAUUUUCACUGUGAUAUGGCCUCAUAUUCAUUUAACUAAUUUGUUGUGUCCCAUAACUUAUUUUUACUUUAAAUUCGAUUUUUAGCUCCAAGAUUGCGUACUCCAAUUUCUACCUGUCAUUUCAAUACGAAUAGACAAUGAUUCGCCUAGAAUCCAAAUUUGUUUCGAUUCUAAAGGGAAUCCUAGCAAACAGGUUGAUGGGGAGUAUGGUGUCGAGGAUCUGAAGAAAGCUAAUCUGGACCAAGAGACGGGGACAAUGGAAUCUCCAACCCAUAUGGAGAACGGAAAUAUAGGAAUUCUGCAACCUGUUUGCAGGAAUUUACUACGUGUAUUUUCAUUGGAAUUAGAAACUGAUACAGGGGGAAGGAGAAGUUGAGUUUUUGGGGAAAAAGUUAGGGUUAUUUGAAAUGAGUAAUUCUAGUGGAGGAAAUGAUGUUGGUGAAGCUUCAAAUAACAAACAUGAUUGUGUUGAUGGUGAGAUUGUCUCAACUAAUCCUAUGGAUUGGACGUUUUAUGAAGAGAUGUUAAUAGAGGAAGCCAUGAAUAUUGGUGCAAAUGAAGAUUCAAUUGCUCAAAAUGAAGGAACCAACCCUCAAAAUGAGGAACCCGAAGCUCAAAACAAUCAGGUAAACAUCUUAUACCCUUCGAUUUAUCUGUUUGUUGUUCCCAGUGGUCGAAUCAUCCACACUAUGGAACAACUCAAUGUAAGGGUCGUCAUGGUCGGGGGUGUAUACCGAAACGACUCUCUAAUGUCGUCAUUUUAUUGACACUACCAAUGACGACUCAAACCUGCAACUUUUCGAGGUUAUGAAAAAUCGUUAAGUAGUGUGAUAAAUAUUAACGACCCUUUUUAGCUAGGUCACUUAGAGUCGUUAUGUUGUUUUGUUUACACAAGAACGACUCUAAAACUAAAACUCUCUGUAAAAUAUAACAUUUAGGGUCGUCAUAUAUGUAGUCAUAUGAAAUGACGAUUCUUAAAUACACAAUGACGAUUCU
Papaver somniferum (opium poppy) is the source of this 2392-nucleotide RNA transcript. RefSeq lists it as uncharacterized. The record is from RefSeq and is a predicted model, not a curated record. The transcript is spliced from 5 exons. NCBI's taxonomy places the organism in Eukaryota, Viridiplantae, Streptophyta, Magnoliopsida, Ranunculales, Papaveraceae.